Molecule: ribosomal RNA, 475 nt
Filed under: uncultured organism
Description: partial 16S ribosomal RNA
Rfam family: Bacterial small subunit ribosomal RNA
Source: RNAcentral
ACUCCUGCGGGAGGCAGCAGUGGGGAAUUUUGGACAAUGGGCGAAAGCCUGAUCCAGCAAUGCCGCGUGCAGGAUGAAGGCCUUCGGGUUGUAAACUGCUUUUGUACGGAACGAAAAAGCUCCUUCUAAUACAGGGGGCCCAUGACGGUACCGUAAGAAUAAGCACCGGCUAACUACGUGCCAGCAGCCGCGGUAAUACGUAGGGUGCGAGCGUUAAUCGGAAUUACUGGGCGUAAAGCGUGCGCAGGCGGUUAUGUAAGACAGAUGUGAAAUCCCCGGGCUCAACCUGGGAACUGCAUUUGUGACUGCAUGGCUAGAGUACGGUAGAGGGGGAUGGAAUUCCGCGUGUAGCAGUGAAAUGCGUAGAUAUGCGGAGGAACACCGAUGGCGAAGGCAAUCCCCUGGACCUGUACUGACGCUCAUGCACGAAAGCGUGGGGAGCAAACAGGAUUAGAUACCCUGGUAGUCCCAUGAU